AUAUUAAUAUUUUAAUGGUUUUAUUUUGGUUUUUUUUUAAUUUAAGUUAUGUUUAUUUAUUUAGUUUUAGUAUAUUUUUGAAUAAAUUGUUUUAUUUAUAGUUGAUUUUUACUGUUAAGGUUUAUUUUUAUGUAUUUGUUUAGUAGAUUUACUUCGUACCUUUUGUAUCAGGGUAAAUUUAAUUUUUUAUAAUUAUUUAUGUUUCUCGAAUUGAUUUGAUUUAAGUUAAUUUGUUAGUUAGUGUGGUAUUAUUAUUAAUUAUUUUUUCUUAGGUGUGAUAUGCUAUUCGUAAAUCAAUAUAUCUAGUUUUCUAAUAAUUGAAUUUAAUUCAGCUAUUUUUUUUAAUGAUUUUAUUUUUAUAUUAUUUAUUUUAAUAGUAAGACUUUGGGGGAUUAGCUUUUAAGUUAUAUUUUAUAAUUUUUUUUUGUUUAUUUUAUGUAGGUUUUAUAUUAUCUAUCAUUAUUUAGUAUUUUGUAAUUUAUUAUAUUUUUUAUAUGAUUUUUUAUAUAAUUUAAUUAUUUAUUUGAAUUAUUUUUUUAAUUUUUUAUUGUUUGUAAUAAUGAUUUAAUUAGUAUAUUUAUUAUAUAAAGUUUAUUUUUUGUGAAGUAUUAUUUAUUAACUAGGCAAAUAUAACAUUCGCCUGUUUAUCAAAAACAUCUUUUCUUGUAAUUAUUUGAGAUCUGACCUGCCCUAUGAUUAAUUAAAUGGCCGCGGUAUUUUGACUGUGCAAAGGUAGCAUAAUCAUUAGUUUAUUAAUUGUGAACUUGUAUGAAUGGUUUGACGAAAUGUUUACUGUCUUUAUUUUAAGAUUAGAAUUUAAAUUUUGAGUUAAAAUGCUUAAAUUUUUUUAUUAGACGAUAAGACCCUAUAGAUCUUAAUUAUUUAUUUUUUGAUAUUUUUAGUUUAUUUAUUUUUUAUUUUAUAAAUUUUUUUGUUGGGGUGACAUGGAGAAUGAAUUUAAAUUAACUCUUUAUUAUUUUUUACAAUUAUUUUUGGUUAUAUGAAUUUAUUUUAUUGAUUUAAGAUUAGAUACCUUAGGGAUAACAGCGUAAUUUUUUUUGAGAGUUCAUAUUGACAAGAAAGAUUGCGACCUCGAUGUUGGAUUAAGAUUAUUAUAAGGUGCAGGUGCUUUAUAAAUAGGUCUGUUCGACCUUUGAAUUCUUACAUGAUCUGAGUUCAAACCGGCGUGAGCCAGGUUGGUUUCUAUCUAUAAUUAUAUUUUUUAUAUUAGUACGAAAGGACCUUAUAAAUUAAAGAUUUUAUUUUGUUGUUUAUUUU
This 1278-nucleotide ribosomal RNA is filed under the name Megalophasma granulatum. RNAcentral's name for it is "16S ribosomal RNA". The stretch from base 1040 to 1198 matches the Rfam family "Bacterial large subunit ribosomal RNA", at positions 2473 to 2632 of the family's 2925-position model. Lineage: Eukaryota; Metazoa; Arthropoda; Insecta; Phasmatodea; Lonchodidae. The record is from RNAcentral.